AGAGACUACUACCAAUAGCUACACUAUGUAUUAAGGAGAGUAUAACUUAAUUUAUGUUUAUGAUUUUAUCAUACCCCUAAAAAUGACACCGAGGAGCAAGGGUCGGGUUAGCAUCCUGGUUCGUACACCUUGGUGACCUAGGCUAGUACCAGGUCCCCCUCUAAGGGACUUGUCCCCUCUAAGGGACUUGCGUCG
Molecule: ribosomal RNA, 195 nt
Filed under: Neurospora crassa
Lineage: Eukaryota; Fungi; Ascomycota; Sordariomycetes; Sordariales; Sordariaceae
Description: partial large subunit ribosomal RNA
Source: RNAcentral